RNAcentral lists this unclassified non-coding RNA (216 nucleotides) under soil metagenome. RNAcentral's name for it is "partial contains 5.8S ribosomal RNA, internal transcribed spacer 2, and large subunit ribosomal RNA". The record is from RNAcentral.
AACGGUCUAUACCUGCGGUACCUGCGGAGGGAUCAUUACAGAGUGUGACCCCCUGUAAAAAGGGGGGUACCUCCCGUCCUUUGCAGGCCCUUUAGGGUCUUUUACACUUUGCUUCGGUGGGGUAACCCACCGGAACACCCUCAAAAAUUCUGAUUUUAAAAUUGUUCAGUCUGAGAAUUUUGAAAAUAAAAUAAAAACUUUCAACAACGGAUCUCU